RNAcentral lists this ribosomal RNA (253 nucleotides) under uncultured bacterium. Its description in RNAcentral is "partial 16S ribosomal RNA". It matches the Rfam family "Bacterial small subunit ribosomal RNA", at positions 524 to 776 of the family's 1533-position model. The record is from RNAcentral.
UCCGAAGGUGGCAAGCGUUGUUCGGAUUUACUGGGCGUACAGGGAGCGUAGGCGGUUCGGUAAGCCCUCUGUGAAAUCUCCAGGCUUAACCUGGAACAGUCGGAGGGGACUGCCGGGCUAGAGGACGGGAGAGGAGCGCGGAAUUCCCGGUGUAGCGGUGAAAUGCGCAGAGAUCGGGAGGAAGGCCGGUGGCGAAGGCGGCGCUCUGGAACGUUUCUGACGCUGAGGCUCGAAAGCGUGGGGAGAAAACAGG